This 355-nucleotide unclassified non-coding RNA is filed under the name Hevea brasiliensis (rubber tree). The record is from RNAcentral. Lineage: Eukaryota; Viridiplantae; Streptophyta; Magnoliopsida; Malpighiales; Euphorbiaceae.
ACUCCCAACCACACACAAAAGAUUAUCGCACAACCCAGUAUCCUUCACCAUUUGCACGGCUCAGUGGAGCCUCCCUUCACCAUUUCGCACAAGAACAAGAACAACCCAUCAACCUUUCUUUGCAAAUCACAUAACUAAAAUCUAGCUUUCAUCAUACAGAACUUCUCCGACCAAUUGCACUAAUUACAUCACUAAAUCCACCUUUAUAUUGUCAUCGAAGGAGAGAGUGAGUAAUAGAAAGAGGGCUUUCUCCUCGAAGACCAACUCGGUCAGCUAGUGGUGAAGGGCACGAUUUUGGAAGGGAGUCGAGCAUGGAGUUAAGAGGAUAAGACAGAGAAAUGAGAAUAGACAUUUG